GAUCCUGGCUCAGGAUGAACGCUAGCGGCAGGCUUAACACAUGCAAGUCGAGGGGCAUCGAGAGUAGCAAUACUUGUCGGCGACCGGCGCAAGGGUGCGUAACACGUGAGCAACAUACCCAAAUCAGGAGGAUAACCGGAGGAAACUCUGCCUAAUACUCCAUAAUAUCAUCUUAUGGCAUCAUGAAAUGAUAAAAGAUUUAUCGGAUUCGGAUUGGCUCGCGGGACAUUAGCUAGUUGGCGAGAUAACGGCUCACCAAGGCUACGAUG
Molecule: ribosomal RNA, 269 nt
Filed under: uncultured bacterium
Lineage: Bacteria
Description: partial 16S ribosomal RNA
Rfam family: Bacterial small subunit ribosomal RNA
Source: RNAcentral